GUGGUUGGAAAAAUUAAAGAGAUUGUUGAAGAUUCAGAGUGGUGGGUCUUUUCUUGUGUUUGUGGUCAUCCAAUUGUAGGUGAUGAUAAUGUGUUUCAUUGUCAGCUGUGCGGCAGAGAGGUCCAGCAGGUAAAUCCAGGUUAUGAUUUAAAAAUUUUCUUUCAUCUGUUCUGAUUCAAUAAUGUAAGUAAGCUUCACGUAUCAGCUUCUUGUGAGACUCACAAAUAGAUUAAUCUGAUAUUUACUUUCUUGGUUAUAGUUACAGGAUUAAGAUAGUUGUUGAAGAUGGGACUUCUUGUGGAAAGUUUGUCUUGUUAGACAGUGCAGCCACUAAGCUAUUAGGGAGAACGUGUUCUGAUGUGUUUUUGUUGUUAGAAGAUGAACUGGAGAAAAUUGAGCACCAAUACUGUCCACAGUUUUUUCAUCAACUCAUUGGGAAAUAGAUUGUUUUCAAAGUUCAAGGAAAGAGGAUUAACACUCGCGGUUAUUGCGGUACCUUUAAAAUCAUCAAUGUUAUUAGUGAUGCAUGUUUUUUCAACAAACUUCAGGCUGAUCAAUGCAUCAAGGUUAGUACUCUUUCUUUAUGUUAGAUAUUAAUGAAUUGGAGGAAUCAUUUUUAGAUAUAGUUUGUUGAUCCCCAGUUUCUAAUUCUUUGUCUGUUGUUUUGAAUGGUAUUCUUUACAUGCCAAUAUGAUUUUUACUCAUACUUUACAAAGUUGGCUGCGUUUUGUAAUUCAUGCUUUGCUUCCAAAUUUUAAGGAUGUUAGUUCUGAUUCGGCCUUUAGCCCAAUACUUGAAGACUUCUCUCAGUGUGGACAGCUUAGAAGUUAUGACAACCAAGUCAUAUCUGGUGUUCCAAUACAACUGCAUAGCAUUAAAGAGAUGCUUGCUGACAUUCUUUGUGCUAAAAUAUAUUCUUCUGCAUCAAGAAAUGUUAGUAUUUAUGUUUAUGUUCUCAACCGUCUGAACUGUGUUUCAACAUGUGUAGUAUGAUAAAACAUGUAUCAUAAUAUACCAAUUAUUGUUUCUCUACAGGAUCAUAUUUGUUUUUUGAUCGGUGAGAUUAUUGACGUUCUGAAACAUCAGAAGUGGUGGUACUACUGCUGUUUGUGUAAUGCACCUGUUUGUUAUGUUAGGAAUUUAUUUUAUUGUUAUCUGUGUAGAGUUGAGUGUGUUGAUGUCAUAAGAAGGUAUCGGAUCAAAAUUAUUGUUUCCCAUUCAAAUGGCAGCAAUAUUUUCAUACUUGAGGAUGAUGAGGUGAUGCAAAUACUCAAAAAGAGUUGUUCAGAAUUUUUUAUAGACGAAGAAAAUUCCUCCCAAGUAAUCAUUUUGGUUUUAAUUUAAUUUAAUUGUCCUUGUUUUCAGUUUAGUGUUUAUGGUUCAGGUAUGUGAAUUUUGCUAAUGACCUAUUCUAUUUUUUUUCCUUAGUCAAAAGAUGAUUACACUGUUCCGAAUAGCAUGAUUUCUCAGUUAAUGAACAAGAAAAUUGUCUUCAUAGUGGAUCCUAGACCCAUUGGAUAUGAAUUGAAUACAUCUCUUCAUGUUGUUCGUGUAAUAUGUAACACCCUACCAUACAGAGUCUUAUGCUUAAGUCAUAAUUCAGAGAUGGCAAGGUAUUACGACCUCUAAAACAAGAAUUUAGUACCUAUAGUAGGAUGAAUAAUUGAUUAUA
Non-coding RNA from Arachis ipaensis, 1672 nucleotides. The record is from RefSeq and is a predicted model, not a curated record. Lineage: Eukaryota; Viridiplantae; Streptophyta; Magnoliopsida; Fabales; Fabaceae.